Molecule: unclassified non-coding RNA, 389 nt
Filed under: Hevea brasiliensis (rubber tree)
Lineage: Eukaryota; Viridiplantae; Streptophyta; Magnoliopsida; Malpighiales; Euphorbiaceae
Source: RNAcentral
GGCUGCUAAUCUGGUGGAACUCUCAAGCCGAAGUGAUCUAAAAUGUGUAGCUGAACAGCCAGAUAUUAUUUUAUUGGUCAGUUGCUUGUUGGAGCGACUUCGUGGUGCUGCUAGUGCGACAGAACCUCGAACACAGAGAGCUAUUUAUGAGAUGGGUUAUUCAGUACUAAAUCCACUCUUGAUGUUUAUGGAAGUUUACAAACAUGAGUCCACAGUUGUGUAUCUGUUACUCAGAUUUGUGGUUGAUUGGGUGGAUGGACAAAUCAUUUACCUAGAAGCUCGUGAAACGGCUAUUGUUGUCGGAUUCUGUAUGCGCGUACUUCAGCUUUACUCUUCCCAUAAUAUCGGCAAGAUAUCUCUGAGCAUUUCAAGCAGCUUGCGGAGUGAAG